CUGCUGCGCACUUCCCCCUCCCACACCCUUUGUCCGCCCUCACUCUGCGGAUUUCCUAUCAACAGCGAUUCUUCCUCCUCGGCGUAGCUGAGUUUGCAUGUGUCUGCCCGUGGGCGUCUCCCGCUCUCUGUCUUACUCCCUGUACCUCAGGCGAUUUUAGUUUUGUUUGCGGUUGCUGCCGCGUCACGUGUGGGUGCGUGAGUGUGUGUGAUUUUGUAUUUAUUCGUUGCUGUCCGUUCAUUCUCUUCUCCCAUUCCCCUUUCGCCUGUUCCUGUCAUGAUCCUCUUUGCCUUUUCUCACCGCAUCUAGCUGACUGUCUGCCUUUUCUUCUCCCCUUCGGCUUCGUUUUCGCCUUUCUAUAUUUUCAUCAUCUGUGGGUUGAUGGGCCUUGUUUUGCUUGCCUGCUCCUUUCUUAUCUCCACCUCUGCCCCCCUCCCCCCUCCCCCCCUUCGGCGCAACGCAACGACGACAAGACAAAAAAAGGGGCAUAGCAGCUCAAUUCCACAGAAGCCGGAGCGCGCGCGCACGUACACACACACCGAUCUUGCACACAUACAAACUCACCACCCACCCUCGCUCCUGCAGAGUGACACGCAUCGGUGCCUUCCUCCUUCCCUUCCCUUCCCUUCCAUCCACACCCUCUUCCUCUAUCCACCGCUGCUCCAUUCCGCUCGUCUCUGCUCUCUGUCGCUGUUUGCAAGCCGCUGCUUUGCUUGUUUUGUUCGUCGUUUCCGCAUCGCCUCGAGUAGGGACUGACAUUGCCGAAGGCCAAGCAACAGCGGUAUGGCAAGCGCAGUGGCGUGCACAAGCUUCGAUCCCCGUAUCCAAGUGCCUCUUACACCUAUCCCUUCCCCUCCCCUCCCAACCAUCUCCAUUCACAGAUUAGUUAUCCCAAGCCACGCUGGUACGUAUAAGGCGCCACAGACUUGCAUCAUAGGAUUCGGACAGCGCCACACAGGAGAGUAAACCAAAUCAUCAACGGAAGUUGAGCAAUACGCCAAGCAGGGGCGGAAUCGAGCUGCGGCAUUGGGCCUCGUAAGGAAGCAGAAGCGUGAUAUUUGCAUCGUCAUCUUUUCUUCUCCAGAGUCUUCUCGGGUGCUUUUUCCGGCUGCCUCCAUCUCCUCUUUUUUUUUUGUCACAGCGUCUUCCCCCCUCUCCCUUCCCUUUUCUCUUCGCCUUCUGCACUUCGACACAUAGAGCCUCUGCUCACAUUUUUGGUCUCCUUUGCAGCGUCAUCUCGUCUUGUCGUCCUUUUCGCUUCUUGUUAAGGCGUGUAUGCGUGUGCUGCUGGCUCGCGCUGUAUUUUUCUGUUUUCCUGUCCAUCACUGCUUUCGUGAAAGGGGCGGCGCAUCGCGCAGCAUCGACGUUACGGAUCCCGGUAGCACAAAACCAGCUUUGCCUCUCCCCAGCUCGUUCAUCGAGUCCGCGGGGAGAGCGAGUUGGCGUGCUCGUGCGUGGGCGGCCCCCUUCCUUUUCCCUCAUCUCUCCCCCUCUCUCUCUCUCGUUCUCAGUUGAAUUUCCUUUUUUUUGUUUCUUGUGCCUCUUCCCCACCCCCUCCUUCCUCUUGUGUUUCUCUCUGUGCGUGUGUGCCCCGUCGUACAUUUCACGGCUGCUGUGGCUCCUUUCGUGUCUGCCUUAUCUGGUCAUUUGUGUGCUGCCGUGAUCCUUCACUGUGUACCGUAAAACAUUCUCCGCCCCCCGUCACUCUUCCGAGGAAGCCAAGCAAAAACACGAAGCGAAGCGAGGCGACGCAACACAACAAAGGCAGCUGCCGAAGCUGGAAAACGCAGAAACAUUCAUAAACAAAAACGAACAUGGGCGGUGAGUCUAGCAAGCAUUCCAACUCCUCGGCUCACGUCCGCAACCGUGAAAGGAAGCGGGGUGCUGUGCCCAGUACCCUGGCAGGUGGCAGCUGCCGCUCUGACUCUCUCAACGGGCGCACAGCCCGUUUGGGGCCCUCUUGUGGAGAUGUCCCAGAUUACAUUCCGCCGUCGCCGGUUCAGUGCGUCGCGUCGCCGAUCCUGCUAAGCGGCUCACUGGAUCCGUCGCUGACGUGGAUACUCGACACAGAGGCGGCACUCAUUACAGAGUGGAACCGUGACCUUCAGGAGGCUGCCGCUCCUAGUGCCGUGGCACGCGGGGUGCCGCGAGGGCGUGAGACAGCAGGAGAAGAAUCAACGCUUUCAUGGACGAAGACAUCUCCAGAAAGCGGUGCGAGCACAGCUGCCUCCAACACGCCGGGAUUGACCUCGUCGUCCACAUUCCCGGCGCUGUCAGGAUGGCCGUCGCCGACACAUGCAAAGUCUCCUUCUGGGCUGGCACUGACAUGCGACUCAGUGGACGUGACGACCGGGCGCAGCACAGGGAUGACCUUGCGCGUCCCGACCACGUGGACUCAACAGAAUUCAUCACGCGCCACAGCUUCAACAAAGACGUUGGCCAGCCCGAAGAGCCCCAAGGCACUGCCGAAGCCGCUGAGCGACUCGGCGGAGGGAGCGUCGCCGCUGGUUGUGUCGUCGCUGCCGGUCGGCAUCGACUACUUCCGAGCCUUGCAAUCGCGGUGGCUGAUCCAGGAGCAGCGGUCGCUGCCGCCGGCGACGGACGAGGAGGAUCUCAACGACUCGGUCAUCCUCGAGGCCGUUUCCGAGCCCAAUGGCGACGUUCUGAGCCCGCCUGUACCGCUAGGGUACAUGAUCGAUCUCUUUGUGCCGCAAUGGCGGUCUGAGGGGCUUUUCGAAGCGGCUCAGGACCACCAGACGCGCUAGGGUCCCACAGAUUUCGUGCAUGCGCUCUUGGAAGGACCUCCUUUUUCUUGUUUUUUUUUUUCGGUUGUUGCCCGUCUCAGAUAUAUGUGGUGUUCGUGUAAUGUGCGUGCGCGCUAUGCGGCGAUGGUGCCGGCACAGGCUGGAGAGAAGACAGAGGAGAGGGAGGCAAGGAUGCAGAUGUACCGCGCUUUUCUUCUCCCUGCUCUUUCUUUCGUUGGUCCCUCAUGCGGUGCUCUCUCUCCUGUGUUUUCCACACGCCCAAAACGGUGUGGUGGCUGUGCCGCAGCGUGGUUUGAUGUUUUUCCUGUCACCAAUCUAAUAUCCCUGCCGAUAGGCAGACACACCCCUCAGUGCGUGGUGGCAUCGCAGGGUCCGGUACCCAAUCUGCAUCGGAAAGUCAGGAACCCCCUCCCCCUACUGUACCUCUGCCAAAUGCCGAACCACUUAUGGUGGUGACCGGGCCAGAUCCUUGGUGGCACUGCGUCGGAGCGAUCUGCGACGAUGAACACGCUUAUGCCACCGAUAUGAC
RNAcentral lists this unclassified non-coding RNA (3294 nucleotides) under Leishmania donovani. RNAcentral's name for it is "gene:LdHU3.26.2720(CDS-product:hypothetical_prote in_conserved)". The record is from RNAcentral. Lineage: Eukaryota; Euglenozoa; Kinetoplastea; Trypanosomatida; Trypanosomatidae.